RNAcentral lists this small RNA (205 nucleotides) under uncultured Paenibacillus sp. Its description in RNAcentral is "ydaO/yuaA leader". It matches the Rfam family "c-di-AMP riboswitch aptamer (ydaO/yuaA leader)", at positions 12 to 118 of the family's 134-position model. Rfam says of the family: This family represents a conserved RNA structure found upstream of the ydaO and yuaA genes in Bacillus subtilis and related genes in other bacteria. Lineage: Bacteria; Bacillati; Bacillota; Bacilli; Caryophanales; Paenibacillaceae. The record is from RNAcentral.
AAUGAGCCGAAACUUACUAGGACAAGUGCGGGGGACGAUUUAACGAAAGGCCGAUUUGAAAUGGAGUCAUUUACAGAUUGGCUAUCUUGGGGUGAAGCGCGGCUGAUAAAGUAACAAAAAAUGAAUCUAUCAUUUGUUACUAUUCUCGCGUAGGGAAGCUUCCUUUUCCCGAAUCCGACAACUAACUCCGCAGGCGAAAUCAAAG